Molecule: long non-coding RNA, 1293 nt
Organism: Patella vulgata (common limpet)
Lineage: Eukaryota; Metazoa; Mollusca; Gastropoda; Patellidae
Exons: 5
Source: RefSeq, a predicted model, not a curated record
UAAACGUCCAUAAAUUCAGUCACUUUUACUUACCAUACAAACAGAGAAGCUUCAUUACACCAGAUUCUAACAAAAAUGAAUUCCAGUCUAUUGAAAUGUUUGGUUUUAGUGGGAGCAGUUAGUGGAGUUUAUUCCUAUGGUAGAGGAGCUCCACCUGGAGCUUGUGUUAGUAUGGAGCCAGGACACACUGGAAUUUCACCACAAACAUUAACAUCACCGUACUCCAUUACGGUUUCAACAACUACAUAUCAACCUAAUCAACAAAUAACAGUCACGAUCUCGGGAGGCGGUAAUCACCAAGGACUUUUACUUCAAGCUAGACAAUCUGGUGCAACGACACCAAUUGGAACGUUUAGUACUCCAUCGGUCAACACCAAAACAAUCCAAUGUCCUGCUGCUGGGGAUUCAUGGACCCAUUCCUCUCCAACAGACAAACCAACAUCAACUGUAAUAUGGACAGCACCAUCUACUGAUAUGGGGCAGAUUACUUUCAGUGCUACUAUUGCACAGAAUAAAAAUACCUACUGGAUGAACCACGAAUCGCAAGCAUUAGCAUUUAUGUCCGGAUCUACCAUGUCCAGUGCGAAUGUCCCAAUAACAACUCCCGGUAGUGGUAGUUCAGGUACCCGACUUGGGAUUGCUUCAGUUUUAGCUGUCGCCAUCACCGCUUUUUAUUUGUUGUAAACUGAUACAAUUUUAUUUCUGUACCGGUACUUAGUUCAACGCUGAAAACUGGUUACUCUGUUAUUACUGACUCUUUUGGGGUAUUCAUUUUCUUUUCUAUAAAACUGGAACCAUACAAUUUACCAUUACUAUUUUGCCUUUAAAUAAUUCAACCUGGCAUAUCAUCUAUAAGUGUACACCUUCCAGACUUGGCUAUUUUGGAUAUUAUUUAUGAAGUUACCUACACCUUUUGUGCCUAUAUGUAAAAGAUAUGUAUUUUGAAAUGAAAUGGGGAGUAACAUCCUACUUUCCUGCACUGAUUGUGCUAAUGAAGGUCUUAUGUCUCUCUUUGUCUAUAUAAGAAAUCUACACGUUUGUCUAUACGGAUAGCCACAUGAGCCUGUAUGAAUAGCUAGCUGUGCCUCAGAAGAGAACAUAUUCUUGAUUUACUUGUACAAUAUUUUAUUCAAGGAAUAUCCCAAAUAAUUUAUGAUAAGAAAAAUAAUCCUCAAUUUUUCUUUGAACAGAAAGUCUGUAAGUUUGUUGUCAUUUGUGGAUGGUGCCGUGUAAAUUUUAUACUAAUUCGAUAUUUUCUGAGAAACUUACGUAAAUAAACUGAUUUAAUUACAA